This 98-nucleotide transfer RNA is filed under the name Friedmanniomyces endolithicus. RNAcentral describes it as "tRNA-Val". The record is from RNAcentral. Lineage: Eukaryota; Fungi; Ascomycota; Dothideomycetes; Mycosphaerellales; Teratosphaeriaceae.
GCUGGGAUGGUGUAGUUGGUUAUCACGUCUGUCUAACAUACGAAGGCGCCUCCCUCUAUGUGCACAGAAGGUCCCGAGUUCAAGUCUCGGUCCUAGUA